RNAcentral lists this ribosomal RNA (2905 nucleotides) under Escherichia coli O104:H4 str. LB226692. Its description in RNAcentral is "bacterial LSU rRNA". It matches the Rfam family "Bacterial large subunit ribosomal RNA". The record is from RNAcentral. Lineage: Bacteria; Pseudomonadati; Pseudomonadota; Gammaproteobacteria; Enterobacterales; Enterobacteriaceae.
GGUUAAGCGACUAAGCGUACACGGUGGAUGCCCUGGCAGUCAGAGGCGAUGAAGGACGUGCUAAUCUGCGAUAAGCGUCGGUAAGGUGAUAUGAACCGUUAUAACCGGCGAUUUCCGAAUGGGGAAACCCAGUGUGAUUCGACACACUAUCAUUAACUGAAUCCAUAGGUUAAUGAGGCGAACCGGGGGAACUGAAACAUCUAAGUACCCCGAGGAAAAGAAAUCAACCGAGAUUCCCCCAGUAGCGGCGAGCGAACGGGGAGCAGCCCAGAGCCUGAAUCAGUGUGUGUGUUAGUGGAAGCGUCUGGAAAGGCGCGCGAUACAGGGUGACAGCCCCGUACACAAAAAUGCACAUGCUGUGAGCUCGAUGAGUAGGGCGGGACACGUGGUAUCCUGUCUGAAUAUGGGGGGACCAUCCUCCAAGGCUAAAUACUCCUGACUGACCGAUAGUGAACCAGUACCGUGAGGGAAAGGCGAAAAGAACCCCGGCGAGGGGAGUGAAAAAGAACCUGAAACCGUGUACGUACAAGCAGUGGGAGCACGCUUAGGCGUGUGACUGCGUACCUUUUGUAUAAUGGGUCAGCGACUUAUAUUCUGUAGCAAGGUUAACCGAAUAGGGGAGCCGAAGGGAAACCGAGUCUUAACUGGGCGUUAAGUUGCAGGGUAUAGACCCGAAACCCGGUGAUCUAGCCAUGGGCAGGUUGAAGGUUGGGUAACACUAACUGGAGGACCGAACCGACUAAUGUUGAAAAAUUAGCGGAUGACUUGUGGCUGGGGGUGAAAGGCCAAUCAAACCGGGAGAUAGCUGGUUCUCCCCGAAAGCUAUUUAGGUAGCGCCUCGUGAAUUCAUCUCCGGGGGUAGAGCACUGUUUCGGCAAGGGGGUCAUCCCGACUUACCAACCCGAUGCAAACUGCGAAUACCGGAGAAUGUUAUCACGGGAGACACACGGCGGGUGCUAACGUCCGUCGUGAAGAGGGAAACAACCCAGACCGCCAGCUAAGGUCCCAAAGUCAUGGUUAAGUGGGAAACGAUGUGGGAAGGCCCAGACAGCCAGGAUGUUGGCUUAGAAGCAGCCAUCAUUUAAAGAAAGCGUAAUAGCUCACUGGUCGAGUCGGCCUGCGCGGAAGAUGUAACGGGGCUAAACCAUGCACCGAAGCUGCGGCAGCGACGCUGAUGCGUUGUUGGGUAGGGGAGCGUUCUGUAAGCCUGCGAAGGUGUGCUGUGAGGCAUGCUGGAGGUAUCAGAAGUGCGAAUGCUGACAUAAGUAACGAUAAAGCGGGUGAAAAGCCCGCUCGCCGGAAGACCAAGGGUUCCUGUCCAACGUUAAUCGGGGCAGGGUGAGUCGACCCCUAAGGCGAGGCCGAAAGGCGUAGUCGAUGGGAAACAGGUUAAUAUUCCUGUACUUGGUGUUACUGCGAAGGGGGGACGGAGAAGGCUAUGUUGGCCGGGCGACGGUUGUCCCGGUUUAAGCGUGUAGGCUGGUUUUCCAGGCAAAUCCGGAAAAUCAAGGCUGAGGCGUGAUGACGAGGCACUACGGUGCUGAAGCAACAAAUGCCCUGCUUCCAGGAAAAGCCUCUAAGCAUCAGGUAACAUCAAAUCGUACCCCAAACCGACACAGGUGGUCAGGUAGAGAAUACCAAGGCGCUUGAGAGAACUCGGGUGAAGGAACUAGGCAAAAUGGUGCCGUAACUUCGGGAGAAGGCACGCUGAUAUGUAGGUGAAGUCCCUCGCGGAUGGAGCUGAAAUCAGUCGAAGAUACCAGCUGGCUGCAACUGUUUAUUAAAAACACAGCACUGUGCAAACACGAAAGUGGACGUAUACGGUGUGACGCCUGCCCGGUGCCGGAAGGUUAAUUGAUGGGGUUAGCGCAAGCGAAGCUCUUGAUCGAAGCCCCGGUAAACGGCGGCCGUAACUAUAACGGUCCUAAGGUAGCGAAAUUCCUUGUCGGGUAAGUUCCGACCUGCACGAAUGGCGUAAUGAUGGCCAGGCUGUCUCCACCCGAGACUCAGUGAAAUUGAACUCGCUGUGAAGAUGCAGUGUACCCGCGGCAAGACGGAAAGACCCCGUGAACCUUUACUAUAGCUUGACACUGAACAUUGAGCCUUGAUGUGUAGGAUAGGUGGGAGGCUUUGAAGUGUGGACGCCAGUCUGCAUGGAGCCGACCUUGAAAUACCACCCUUUAAUGUUUGAUGUUCUAACGUUGACCCGUAAUCCGGGUUGCGGACAGUGUCUGGUGGGUAGUUUGACUGGGGCGGUCUCCUCCUAAAGAGUAACGGAGGAGCACGAAGGUUGGCUAAUCCUGGUCGGACAUCAGGAGGUUAGUGCAAUGGCAUAAGCCAGCUUGACUGCGAGCGUGACGGCGCGAGCAGGUGCGAAAGCAGGUCAUAGUGAUCCGGUGGUUCUGAAUGGAAGGGCCAUCGCUCAACGGAUAAAAGGUACUCCGGGGAUAACAGGCUGAUACCGCCCAAGAGUUCAUAUCGACGGCGGUGUUUGGCACCUCGAUGUCGGCUCAUCACAUCCUGGGGCUGAAGUAGGUCCCAAGGGUAUGGCUGUUCGCCAUUUAAAGUGGUACGCGAGCUGGGUUUAGAACGUCGUGAGACAGUUCGGUCCCUAUCUGCCGUGGGCGCUGGAGAACUGAGGGGGCUGCUCCUAGUACGAGAGGACCGGAGUGGACGCAUCACUGGUGUUCGGGUUGUCAUGCCAAUGGCACUGCCCGGUAGCUAAAUGCGGAAGAGAUAAGUGCUGAAAGCAUCUAAGCACGAAACUUGCCCCGAGAUGAGUUCUCCCUGACCCUUUAAGGGUCCUGAAGGAACGUUGAAGACGACGACGUUGAUAGGCCGGGUGUGUAAGCGCAGCGAUGCGUUGAGCUAACCGGUACUAAUGAACCGUGAGGCUUAACCUUAC